Panicum virgatum (switchgrass) is the source of this 1560-nucleotide long non-coding RNA. RefSeq lists it as uncharacterized. NCBI's taxonomy places the organism in Eukaryota, Viridiplantae, Streptophyta, Magnoliopsida, Poales, Poaceae. The transcript is spliced from 2 exons. The record is from RefSeq and is a predicted model, not a curated record.
UCUGCAGGAAGAAAAUGAUGUAAGCUUAUCUGAAUGAGUGCAUGUUUUCAACUUUAGACAUGAUGCAUUGACUAAUAUCUUGAGAAAUUCGACAACGUGAAUUUGUUCCAGUGUCAUUGUCCUUGGAGUACAGUGCAUUUGGAAAGCAGGACAAAUAUUUGGUGACAGAUUCUGGUGAAUGUAUAUUUUUGUUGGUUUGAGAAUACAUCAUGCAGGAGAUGAUCUUAUAUUCAGGCACUGUUGUCCAGUUUCCUCUCCGAACUCGUCCUUAUCCCCUCUCUACAGUGAACAUAGGCGAAAAAGGGCGACUCCGAGGCGGACGCCGCUUCCGGCGGGGAUUCCGCCGGUCUUCUUCCUCUCCGAUGGCCGGCCGGCCGUCGGCGAGGCGGAACGACCGCGGGAUCACCGUCCGGCUGUAGAUAGGUUAGAUAUUUACUUAUCUAGGCCUAGAUGCUGCUCGUCGCCGUCGGGCGAAGGAGCUAGGGUUUGCUGGCGGCCUCAAUUCGUCCAUUCCUUUUGCAACGGGUUGGAGGGGAUGGAGUUUGAGCCGCUGUGGCUUGUCUUCCUCUUGCUGAUGGUCGGAGUCGCCGCUUCGGCAAGGUGGAUUUUGCUUCUCCGGGGAUUUUCUGUUUACCUCUGGGUGUCCACCUCUCGAUUUGCUUUGGUUUGAUCGGUGGUUUCAAGUUCUUGGGCGAUGCUGGGAGUACGCGGAGGCGGUCGCGCUACCCUAUCUGGAGGUGGAAGACGAUGUGCAGGGACCUGGUUGUAAUUUGUGCUUUCCUUAGGGUUGUCUUUGCAAAGCUAGGAUGUACUGUGCUUGCCACUGUUUAAUAUAAUCUACAUCUUGGUUCGCAAAAAAAAAAGGAGAUACUGAAUUGCAGACAAUGGCUAUUCACUAAUUUGAAUGGUCGGUGGCCGCUUCCUUGCACAUGCGCCAGUCACUGGACAUGUCCAAUCUUAAUGCAAUAAGUAGUUAACCUAUGUGUUUUCCUCUAUCACUGGCUCUGGCCUUUUAUGAUGGGAAUAGCGGUGAAAGCAAAUCUGUGGUCUGGAUCUUGAAUCUCGAUCUAGGUUUGACACAGCCACCCAGGGCAUGCUUGAUGCACGUUAAGAGAUCACUGUCUGCUGGUGCUGAAUCACGCAGGCAAGUGAAAAAAAACAAAAGGCCGGCAGUGCUGAUGAAUUGAAGAUCCCUAGGCACCAUCUUAUUAUUACUGCAACUGGCAGUGGAUGGGAGGUGAGUGGUGACUACUCGCGCCACGUGCUUGUCACGAGUUUGGAAGCCAUGUACUUUUGGCUACUAAUUAGCCAACAGUUUGCCUGUUUCAUGCUACUAAUUUUUAGGCAAGUUGGACUUCUGAAGGAGCAAAUUUCUGGGGAUUGCUUCAUGAGAGUAUCUUGGUCUUAUGGUCUUGAUCAUGACAAUCAAGAAAAGGACAAUUCUUUUGCCCCAGGAAAAGUGCACCAGUAUUAUGCUCCCUAGUAUGAUAUGAUUCGAUAGAUGAUCAGAUUCACUGUUUUUCUUUAUUUUUCUUAAAAGCGACAUAGUAGUUCGGAUCA